GUAGGUGGCAAGCGUUGUCCGGAAUUAUUGGGCGUAAAGCGCGCGCAGGCGGUUUUUAAGUCUGAUGUGAAAGCCCACGGCUCAACCGUGGAGGGUCAUUGGAAACUGGAGAACUUGAGUACAGAAGAGGAAAGCGGAAUUCCACGUGUAGCGGUGAAAUGCGUAGAGAUGUGGAGGAACACCAGUGGCGAAGGCGGCUUUCUGGUCUGUAACUGACGCUGAGGCGCGAAAGCGUGGGGAGCAAACAGGAUUAGAUACCCUGGUAGUCCACGCCGUAAACGAUGAGUGCUAAGUGUUAGGGGGUUUCCGCCCCCCUUAGUGCUGCAGCUAACGCAUUAAGCACUCCGCCUGGGAGUACGGCCGCAAGGCUG
RNAcentral lists this ribosomal RNA (371 nucleotides) under uncultured organism. RNAcentral describes it as "partial 16S ribosomal RNA". It matches the Rfam family "Bacterial small subunit ribosomal RNA", at positions 527 to 896 of the family's 1533-position model. The record is from RNAcentral.